CAUCUUUGUCGUGCUGUUCAAGCUUUGUAGCUGAUUUCUUCUCGUCGUUGUGACUUUGCAUCGUCAUUCUUCAAUGCUCACGAGGUUUGUCUCGCAUGUCCUUUGCUUUAGUGAAGCAAAAAGAAAAAUUUCUUGUCACCCUACUCUUAUGCUUAUGUUGCAUUGUUUAUUUUGUUACAUCCAUGGUAUUUUUCUAAUGUUUUAAGAGCAAUGCACCACUAUUCUUGCGAAGGAAGGCGAUUCACAA
Molecule: long non-coding RNA, 247 nt
Filed under: Malus domestica (apple)
Lineage: Eukaryota; Viridiplantae; Streptophyta; Magnoliopsida; Rosales; Rosaceae
Description: long non-coding RNA (MDOM_LNC000373)
Source: RNAcentral